This 27-nucleotide non-coding RNA is filed under the name Bombyx mori (domestic silkworm). The record is from RNAcentral. Lineage: Eukaryota; Metazoa; Arthropoda; Insecta; Lepidoptera; Bombycidae.
UCGAUAAUAACUACAAAUUGUUUGAUC